Molecule: long non-coding RNA, 814 nt
Organism: Gopherus evgoodei (Goodes thornscrub tortoise)
Lineage: Eukaryota; Metazoa; Chordata; Testudines; Testudinidae
Exons: 3
Source: RefSeq, a predicted model, not a curated record
UUAACUCCAGUUCAUUUUCCUGUUCCCCUUGUUUAAGUGUUCAGAGGAAGUUCUAUAGCAGAGGCUUGCAAUCUUUUUCUUUCUCAGUCCCCCCACCAACAUGCUAUAAAAAGUCCACAGCCCACCUGUGCCCCAACAACUGUUUUUCUGCAUAUCCAGUAGAUUAAAAACUGUAUUAAACUGAUAGUUCUACAGUUAAAUACACAUUGAAAAAAGGAUAAGAUAGUACUAAAAUUAAAACAUGAAUAUUAUGUUCAAGUAUUAAUAUGGCCAAGCCCUGCCGCCCAGGGCAGAAGCCCAAGCCCAAGCCCUGCCACCUGGGGCUAAAGCUGAAGCCUGAGCCUCACUGCACAGCACCCCUGUGGCAUGGGGCCCCAGGCAGUUGCCCUGCUUGCAACCCCCUAAUGCUGGCCCUACUGAAGCCAGUAGGUUUCAGCAUAUCAUGCAGGAAAAUGAACACGUGUUCUGGUAAUAAAGAAAAGAAAAAGCAAUGUGUCCAAAUAGCAUGAGGUGAAACAGCUUUUAUUUUUUGCAUGCGCUCUGGUUUCUUUUGGCAGACCCCUCCUGAAACCCAGUUGAGAACCACGGUUCUAUAGGACUGAGUGCUUCAGAGACAAAAGGAGAAAAAUGCUUUUGGGAAGGGCCCCGUUAUUGGUAGCUGCGAGAGCUGCUUUUGACUGAAGAAAUGAAAGAUCUUGGAAAUUCGAAUGCUACAGCAUAGCGAGCUCAGAGGAGACCGUGCAGAUUUCAUCAGCAGAGGUGACCAUGGAGUCCCAGAAUCACAAAAGAGCUGCAGCAUGGACCGAACGGGAGG